This 182-nucleotide non-coding RNA is filed under the name Pusillimonas minor. RNAcentral describes it as "Pusillimonas sp. 7-48 6S RNA". It matches the Rfam family "6S / SsrS RNA". From Rfam's summary of the family: E. coli 6S RNA was the first non coding RNA to be sequenced, but its function was unknown until recently. It consists of 184 nucleotides that fold into an extended hairpin structure with a large single-stranded internal bulge. The record is from RNAcentral. Lineage: Bacteria; Pseudomonadati; Pseudomonadota; Betaproteobacteria; Burkholderiales; Alcaligenaceae.
UAGUCCCUGCAGUGUUCGUGACUUGACCUUACAUUUCUUGAACCAAUGCUUAUGGCAUUAGGUUGCCAGAUUGACAAGCAGGAGUGAACGUCUUAACUGACGAUCCCGAAACUUGACUGAAGGCGACCACCUUGAACCCUCGGUUCCAGGAUGCCGGUCUUGACGGCACAGGCGGGGCAUUU